AGAGUUUGAUCCUGGCUCAGAACGAACGCUGGCGGCAGGCUUAACACAUGCAAGUCGAACGCCCCGCAAGGGGAGUGGCAGACGGGUGAGUAACGCGUGGGAACGUGCCCUUCGCUUCGGAAUAGCCCCGGGAAACUGGGAGUAAUACCGGAUACGCCGUAUUGGGAAAGAUUUAUCGGCGAAGGAUCGGCCCGCGUUAGAUUAGCUAGUUGGCGGUGUAAUGGACCACCAAGGCUACGAUCUAUAGCUGGUCUGAGAGGAUGAUCAGCCACACUGGGACUGAGACACGGCCCAGACUCCUACGGGAGGCAGCAGUGGGGAAUCUUGGACAAUGGGCGCAAGCCUGAUCCAGCCAUGCCGCGUGAGUGAAGAAGGCCUUAGGGUUGUAAAACUCUUUCGCCGGAGAAGAUAAUGACGGUAUCCGGAGAAGAAGCCCCGGCUAACUUCGUG
RNAcentral lists this ribosomal RNA (450 nucleotides) under uncultured bacterium. Its description in RNAcentral is "bacterial SSU rRNA". It matches the Rfam family "Bacterial small subunit ribosomal RNA", at positions 8 to 507 of the family's 1533-position model. The record is from RNAcentral.